This 1565-nucleotide ribosomal RNA is filed under the name Salmonella enterica subsp. enterica serovar Newport. RNAcentral describes it as "partial 23S ribosomal RNA". It matches the Rfam family "Bacterial large subunit ribosomal RNA", at positions 677 to 2141 of the family's 2925-position model. Lineage: Bacteria; Pseudomonadati; Pseudomonadota; Gammaproteobacteria; Enterobacterales; Enterobacteriaceae. The record is from RNAcentral.
CCGAGUCUUAACCGGGCGUUAAGUUGCAGGGUAUAGACCCGAAACCCGGUGAUCUAGCCAUGGGCAGGUUGAAGGUUGGGUAACACUAACUGGAGGACCGAACCGACUAAUGUUGAAAAAUUAGCGGAUGACCUGUGGCUGGGGGUGAAAGGCCAAUCAAACCGGGAGAUAGCUGGUUCUCCCCGAAAGCUAUUUAGGUAGCGCCUCGUGAAUUCAUCUCCGGGGGUAGAGCACUGUUUCGGCUAGGGGGCCAUCCCGGCUUACCAACCCGAUGCAAACUGCGAAUACCGGAGAAUGUUAUCACGGGAGACACACGGCGGGUGCUAACGUCCGUCGUGAAGAGGGAAACAACCCAGACCGCCAGCUAAGGUCCCAAAGUCAUGGUUAAGUGGGAAACGAUGUGGGAAGGCCCAGACAGCCAGGAUGUUGGCUUAGAAGCAGCCAUCAUUUAAAGAAAGCGUAAUAGCUCACUGGUCGAGUCGGCCUGCGCGGAAGAUGUAACGGGGCUAAACCAUGCACCGAAGCUGCGGCAGCGAACGUAUCACUUAAAGCGAUUCAGCGGGUUACGAUUGACGGAGCGAAGCGACGUCAAAGCGUAUACAAAGUCGAGUCGGUUUAAGGAUACGUUCGUUGGGUAGGGGAGCGUUCUGUAAGCCUGUGAAGGUGGCCUGUGAGGGUUGCUGGAGGUAUCAGAAGUGCGAAUGCUGACAUAAGUAACGAUAAAGCGGGUGAAAAGCCCGCUCGCCGGAAGACCAAGGGUUCCUGUCCAACGUUAAUCGGGGCAGGGUGAGUCGACCCCUAAGGCGAGGCCGAAAGGCGUAGUCGAUGGGAAACGGGUUAAUAUUCCCGUACUUGGUGUUACUGCGAAGGGGGGACGGAGAAGGCUAUGUUGGCCGGGCGACGGUUGUCCCGGUUUAAGCGUGUAGGUGUGUGUUCCAGGUAAAUCCGGUUCACUUUAACACUGAGGCGUGAUGACGAGGCACUACGGUGCUGAAGCAACAAAUGCCCUGCUUCCAGGAAAAGCCUCUAAGCAUCAGGUAACAUCAAAUCGUACCCCAAACCGACACAGGUGGUCAGGUAGAGAAUACCAAGGCGCUUGAGAGAACUCGGGUGAAGGAACUAGGCAAAAUGGUGCCGUAACUUCGGGAGAAGGCACGCUGACACGUAGGUGAAGUGAUUUACUCACGGAGCUGAAGUCAGUCGAAGAUACCAGCUGGCUGCAACUGUUUAUUAAAAACACAGCACUGUGCAAACACGAAAGUGGACGUAUACGGUGUGACGCCUGCCCGGUGCCGGAAGGUUAAUUGAUGGGGUCAGCGCAAGCGAAGCUCCUGAUCGAAGCCCCGGUAAACGGCGGCCGUAACUAUAACGGUCCUAAGGUAGCGAAAUUCCUUGUCGGGUAAGUUCCGACCUGCACGAAUGGCGUAAUGAUGGCCAGGCUGUCUCCACCCGAGACUCAGUGAAAUUGAACUCGCUGUGAAGAUGCAGUGUACCCGCGGCAAGACGGAAAGACCCCGUGAACCUUUACUAUAGCUUGACACUGAACAUUGAGCCUUGAUGUGUAG